UACGUAGGGUGCAAGCGUUAAUCGGAAUUACUGGGCGUAAAGCGUGCGCAGGCGGUGAUGUAAGACAGUUGUGAAAUCCCCGGGCUCAACCUGGGAACUGCAUCUGUGACUGCAUCGCUGGAGUGCGGCAGAGGGGGAUGGAAUUCCGCGUGUAGCAGUGAAAUGCGUAGAUAUGCGGAGGAACACCGAUGGCGAAGGCAAUCCCCUGGGCCUGCACUGACGCUCAUGCACGAAAGCGUGGGGAGCAAACAGGA
This 254-nucleotide ribosomal RNA is filed under the name uncultured Comamonadaceae bacterium. RNAcentral's name for it is "partial 16S ribosomal RNA". It matches the Rfam family "Bacterial small subunit ribosomal RNA", at positions 524 to 777 of the family's 1533-position model. The record is from RNAcentral. Lineage: Bacteria; Pseudomonadati; Pseudomonadota; Betaproteobacteria; Burkholderiales; Comamonadaceae.